This 393-nucleotide ribosomal RNA is filed under the name uncultured bacterium. RNAcentral describes it as "partial 16S ribosomal RNA". It matches the Rfam family "Bacterial small subunit ribosomal RNA", at positions 523 to 918 of the family's 1533-position model. The record is from RNAcentral.
AUACGGAGGAUGCAAGCGUUAUCCGGAUUUAUUGGGUUUAAAGGGUGCGUAGGCGGCUUGCUAAGCGGGAGGUGAAAUGCCGGCGCUCGACGUCGGAAGUGCCUCCCGAACUGGUGGACUUGAAUGACUCUGCCGUGGGAGGAAUGUGUAGUGUAGCGGUGAAGUGCUUAGAGAUUACACAGAACACCGGUUGCGAAGGCGUCUCACGAAGGGUGGAAUUACGCUUACGCACUAAAGCCUUGGGAUCUAACAGUAUUAGAUACCCUGGUAGACCACAGCGUAAACGAUGAUCGCUAACCGCUUGGCUUAGCAGUUCAGUGGCCAAGCGAAAGCGAUAAGGCAUCCACCUGGUGACUACGACCUUAACGCUGCAGCUCACACGAAGUGACUGGG